Molecule: ribosomal RNA, 445 nt
Filed under: uncultured bacterium
Lineage: Bacteria
Description: partial 16S ribosomal RNA
Rfam family: Bacterial small subunit ribosomal RNA
Source: RNAcentral
GUGAGGAAUAUUGGUCAAUGGGCGGGAGCCUGAACCAGCCAAGUCGCGUGAAGGAAGAAGGAUCUAUGGUUCGUAAACUUCUUUUGCAGGGGAAUAAAGUGCAGGACGUGUCCUGUUUUGUAUGUACCCUGAGAAUAAGGAUCGGCUAACUCCGUGCCAGCAGCCGCGGUAAUACGGAGGAUCCGAGCGUUAUCCGGAUUUAUUGGGUUUAAAGGGUGCGUAGGUGGUUUGAUAAGUCAGCGGUGAAAGUUUGCAGCUUAACUGUAAAAAUGCCGUUGAAACUGUCGGACUUGAGUGUAAAUGAGGUAGGCGGAAUGCGUGGUGUAGCGGUGAAAUGCAUAGAUAUCACGCAGAACUCCGAUUGCGAAGGCAGCUGACUGAGCCUUGAUUGACGCUGAGGUACGAAAGUGUGGGUAGCGAACAGGAUUAGAAACCCUGGUAGUCC